RNAcentral lists this non-coding RNA (29 nucleotides) under Mus musculus (house mouse). The record is from RNAcentral. Lineage: Eukaryota; Metazoa; Chordata; Mammalia; Rodentia; Muridae.
UCAAACGGCUUUGACGGUGAGUUCUCCAC